RNAcentral lists this long non-coding RNA (2427 nucleotides) under Xyrichtys novacula (pearly razorfish). Lineage: Eukaryota; Metazoa; Chordata; Actinopteri; Labriformes; Labridae. The record is from RNAcentral.
GCGCUCGAUCGCGCUGUAUGAGACAGGAAAACAUAGCAUGCAGACAUUAGCGACAGGUCUUACAGGCGGAAAAGGCUUGCCAAAAGAAAAAAAAAACACACCACAACAUCUCUCCUAUUGGUGGAAAACUUCACCACAACAACCAAUCCAAAAUUAUAUGGUGACUGAUUGACAAGGGGCGGGUGCUUACGUUCUUCCUGCAACAUGAGAAGCGAGGGAGGGACUCUCAGCAGGGAUGCAGUCUGGGACACGUAGUUGCAAACCUAGCGACUUUGUUGUUAGAUUCAAUGACUUUUCAGACCCCCUAACGACUUUUUUUUUAGAAAGAAAGGGACUUUUAUCGACUUCUUCUGGAGUUUAGAGACUCUGACAUGAAGCAGGCUUUCCUUACUGAGGAGUUAGCAACGCUGCUAAGGGUGCAGAGCCACACAUGCGCUCAGAGCUCUGCAUGGGAGACUGAAGCUGACAGAGCUGCAGCAGUUAGCAGGUUUCACCCUCAGAGACCACCAGGGGUUCAUGUUGAGGCAUUUUAAUUUUUUUUUUUUUUGUGCCAUAGACACUGUCAGCACAAUCUGCAGUUACACUAACAAAAAUGCUGCAAAAAACAAAGAAUUAUGGAAAAAUUACACAUGGACUGACAUAGAGGAGGAUCUAGUUUUUUACAUCAUGUUUUACAUCAUGCAUCAUUUACAUCAUGUUUUUUUGUAGUGGCAUAAAUAAAAAGUGACAUUUGUGAGACUAUACAGUGUUUUGUAAAUAAUUUUACAAAGAACGCCUGGGCCAUUGCCUGCAUUUUGAUGUAAAUAGAGGUAAAUCACUAUGUUCUUUGUUAAAAAUUUGCAUAUGUUUUGAAGUUUACAAUUUUUAUUUGAAGUUUAAGUUUUAAAAACAGUUCAUCACACAUAUUUGUGGUUUUCACAGUAAAAAUGUUACUUUUUUCCACUCGGAUUUUAUGUUUUGUGUGUGAAUUUGGGUCCAUUGUGUAAAUUCAGUAUGUCAACAUGAUAAAAUAACUGUAAAUUCGCACAGGUGAGGUUGUGCUGAAAAAAAUGAUACCAGGCAAGGCACGUGAUUGUCAAAUUUUGUGUCAAUAUGACAAAGCGUAUAGGCGUGAAUCUCAACAAUAUGUAUUUUCACCUUAGGGGACAAGAAAAAAUUGACUUUUUUCUCCUGCCAUGGGGGGGCGCUCUUUUGGGGAGUAAAAAUUCCUUCACAAAUGUGUUGAUGGCUGGACAUUGCAUCAUCCUAGAAAACUUGGAGGCCAGUGAGGACAAAAAUAAAAAGUUACAAGACUUUUAAAUAUGUGGAUUUUAGGGUUAUCUUUGGCGCCCCCUAGAACCUAAACCGUGGGGUGCAGCGUCAUGAUUUUGAUAACUUUUAAUGGCCAUGGGGUGUAGAUUGGCCUGAGCAAAUGUGUUGCCGGUGGAACGAAAGCCUUAGGAGGAGUUAGCCACAUUCCAAUGUGUGCGGAUCGGCAAAAAAUGCGGAAUAACCCUUUAACCGUACAUUUGACAGAUACGCGCUCAUAGACUUUUUUGUAGAUCUUAUUGAGAUACAUGUGUGUGUCAAUUUUUGUGUCAUUUUGCCAAAGCGUAAAGGCGUGACAGUCAACAAUGUGUAUUUUCACCUUAGGGGUCAAGAAAAAAUGGACUUUUUUCUCCUGCCAUGGGGGGGCGCUCUUUUGGGGAGUAAAAAUUCCUUCACAGAUGUGUUGAUGGCUGGACAUUGCAUCAUCCUAGAAAACUUGGAGGCCAAUGAGGACAAAAAUAAAAAGUUAUAAGAUUUUUAAAUAUGUGGAUUUUAGGGUUAUCUUUGGCGCCCCCUAGAACCUAAACCGUGGGGUGCAGCGUCAUGAUUUGAAUAACUUUUAAUGGCCAUGGGGUGUAGAUUGGCCUGAGCAAAUGUGGUGCCGGUGGAACGAAAGCCUUCGGAGGAGUUAGCGAAAUUCCAAUGUGUGCAGAUCUGCAAAAAAUGCAAAAUAACCCAUUAACCGUACAUUUGACAGAUACGCCCGCACUGACUUUUUUGUAGAUCUUAUUGAGAUACAUGUGUGUGUCAAUUUUUGUGUCAAUAUGACAAAGCGUACAGCCGUGACAGUGAAUAGUGUGAAUUUUCACCUUAGGGGGCGCUAUGGAGCCAUUUUGCAUUUUAUUGUUUUGGCGACUUCAGAAUAUCAAAUUUUUCACCAGGCCCGGUCGUCCUGCCAAAUUUCAUGAGUUUUCGCCAGUGGGAAGUGGGCCAUUUUCCAGUUCAAAGGGGAGGAAAAAGAAAAAAGAAAGUAAGAAACAAAGAAAAACCACUUGGGGAAUAAUAGGGCCUACGCCCGGCUGCUCUGCAGCUGGCUCGGGCCCUAACGAAAGAAGGAAACAUGCAGGAACAAGAGGGCUCUCGCAGCUGCUUAGCAGUUACGCUCGGGCCCUAAUAACA